This 490-nucleotide ribosomal RNA is filed under the name Arthroleptella landdrosia (Landdros moss frog). Its description in RNAcentral is "partial 16S ribosomal RNA". It matches the Rfam family "Bacterial large subunit ribosomal RNA", at positions 1946 to 2604 of the family's 2925-position model. Lineage: Eukaryota; Metazoa; Chordata; Amphibia; Anura; Pyxicephalidae. The record is from RNAcentral.
CCGUGCGAAGGUAGCAUAAUCACUUGUUCUCUAAAUAGGGACUUGUAUCAACGGCAUCACGAGGGUUACACUGUCUCCUUUCUCCAAUCAGUGAAACUGAUCUCCCCGUGAAGAAGCGGGGAUAAGAAUAUAAGACGAGAAGACCCCAUGGAGCUUUAAGCUCAACAACACCUCUACAAUAUACCUCCUCUUAAACUACGAGACCUGUCUGUUAGCUUUAGGUUGGGGUGACCGCGGAGUAUAAUAUAACCUCCACGACUGACGGGACUAACCCCUUAUCCAAGAGCCACUGCUCUAAGAAUCAUGAAUUUGAUGUAAAAUGAUCCGUUCUUCGAUCAACGAACCAAGUUACCCUGGGGAUAACAGCGCAAUCUACUUCAAGAGCUCCUAUCGACAAGUAGGUUUACGACCUCGAUGUUGGAUCAGGGUAUCCUAGUGGUGCAGCCGCUACUAAAGGUUCGUUUGUUCAACGAUUAAAACCCUACGUGAU